Molecule: ribosomal RNA, 490 nt
Filed under: uncultured bacterium
Lineage: Bacteria
Description: partial 16S ribosomal RNA
Rfam family: Bacterial small subunit ribosomal RNA
Source: RNAcentral
AUUGAACGCUGGCGGCAGGCUUAACACAUGCCAGUCGAACGGUAGCAGGAGAAAGCUUGCUUUCUUGCUGACGAGUGGCGGACGGGUGAGUAAUGCUUGGGAAUCUGGCUUAUGGAGGGGGAUAACUACGGGAAACUGUAGCUAAUACCGCGUAGAAUCGGAAGAUGAAAGUGCGGGACCGCAAGGCCGCAUGCCAUGAGAUGAGCCCAAGUGGGAUUAGGUAGUUGGUGGGGUAAGGGCCUACCAAGCCUGCGAUCUCUAGCUGGUCUGAGAGGAUGGCCAGCCACACUGGGACUGAGACACGGUCCAGACUCCUACGGGAGGCAGCAGUGGGGAAUAUUGCGCAAUGGGGGGAACCCUGACGCAGCCAUGCCGCGUGAAUGAAGAAGGCCUUCGGGUUGUAAAGUUCUUUCGGUAUUGAGGAAGGUUGAUGUGUUAAUAGUACAUCAAAUUGACGUUAAAUACAGAAGAAGCACCGGCUAACUCCGUG